Molecule: ribosomal RNA, 690 nt
Filed under: Epilithonimonas ginsengisoli
Lineage: Bacteria; Pseudomonadati; Bacteroidota; Flavobacteriia; Flavobacteriales; Weeksellaceae
Description: bacterial SSU rRNA
Rfam family: Bacterial small subunit ribosomal RNA
Source: RNAcentral
GUCCUUCGGGACGGAGAGAGCGGCGUACGGGUGCGGAACACGUGUGCAACCUGCCUUUAUCUGGGGGAUAGCCUUUCGAAAGGAAGAUUAAUACCCCAUAANAUAUNNNANGGCAUCNUNNNAUAUUGAAAACUCCGGUGGAUAGAGAUGGGCACGCGCAAGAUUAGAUAGUUGGUGAGGUAACGGCUCACCAAGUCAGUGAUCUUUAGGGGGCCUGAGAGGGUGAUCCCCCACACUGGUACUGAGACACGGACCAGACUCCUACGGGAGGCAGCAGUGAGGAAUAUUGGACAAUGGGUGAGAGCCUGAUCCAGCCAUCCCGCGUGAAGGACUAAGGCCCUAUGGGUUGUAAACUUCUUUUAUACUGGGAUAAACCUACUUACGUGUAAGUAGCUGAAGGUACAGUAUGAAUAAGCACCGGCUAACUCCGUGCCAGCAGCCGCGGUAAUACGGAGGGUGCAAGCGUUAUCCGGAUUUAUUGGGUUUAAAGGGUCCGUAGGCGGAUCCGUAAGUCAGUGGUGAAAUCUCAUAGCUUAACUAUGAAACUGCCAUUGAUACUGCGGGUCUUGAGUGAGAUUGAGGUAGCUGGAAUAAGUAGUGUAGCGGUGAAAUGCAUAGAUAUUACUUAGAACACCAAUUGCGAAGGCAGGUUACCAAGUCUUAACUGACGCUGAGGGACGAAAGCGUGGG